GCAGCUCCUGGUAAUUCUUGGAAGGUGGUGACAUCACUGAAAGAUCCUUCUUCCCAGGAUCCAUAUGUCCUCAUAGGAAGUCUUUCCAGAAAAUAAUUCAUGAAUUUUCCAUACUUGGUAUGGAAGAUCUUCACAGGAUAAGAAGAAGGGACAGAGAAGAGCCCCCAGUGACAGCUUGAGGAGACCACCAGCUGUGUAAAGUCUAUGCAAAGUGUUGAGACCACUAGCUCAAUCUCUGCAGCUCAUGCUGGAAAAAAUCAGAGAGAAACAUCUGAGGCACUUCAGGAGAGAGCAGUUGGAGAACACAUACACAGUCAUCAGUAUCUAUCCACAUCUCAUCUUCCUACACAAGGCCACUGUCACACCACUUGGGGAAAAAUUGGAAAUCAGACACACGAGUGUGGCUUUGUUUUCCUGGAGCUCCUCAGGGGAAGGUGGAAACAUGAAUAUCUAUUGGCACCUACUUCUACAAAAGACCAGCUGAAACAUCUAACCUGGUGGGACUGAGCAACUACUAGAUUCUUCGACUUCCCAUUCACAGUGACUUCUGGCUGUUUCCACUGACUUGGGCUGAUUGACAGAGACUCUUCUGUUUGUUCUGGAUGAACUGCCAUUGCUGAUUCAUAGAGAGAAUCUACAAGUGACUUGAGGUACUGCUGCUGAUCUGUGUGAACUGAACUGCAAAUAUUUUGACAAGAUUGGAAUUGCCCCAAAUAAAUGUUUCUAAAUAGG
RNAcentral lists this long non-coding RNA (732 nucleotides) under Mus musculus (house mouse). Its description in RNAcentral is "RIKEN cDNA 2010309G21 gene". The record is from RNAcentral. Lineage: Eukaryota; Metazoa; Chordata; Mammalia; Rodentia; Muridae.